RNAcentral lists this long non-coding RNA (1581 nucleotides) under Nicotiana benthamiana. RNAcentral's name for it is "long non-coding RNA (NBEN_LNC037869)". Lineage: Eukaryota; Viridiplantae; Streptophyta; Magnoliopsida; Solanales; Solanaceae. The record is from RNAcentral.
CUAAAUGUCAAAACCACUUCAUAUUAAUAUCACAUGUUACAGUGAGGCAAACCAACAACUUAGCAAUUUCAAAUUUAAAAACUAACAGCAUGUCAUAUAAGCGUAACAAUUCAGUAGUCCCUAGUUACAGUCCAUGUGCAUCUACCAUGUAUAUAUUACAACACAAAUGGCUAAUAUCAACUAUGUCUAAUUAACUAUUAUCUAUUUAGUGACAAACAUCAGAAGACAUCCAAACAUAUAUAAAGCUGGCAAACUCUUUUCAUUUCAACUUCAAUUUCCAUCUAGAUUGAUGGACUCAAGGGAAGAUACCUGAAAUUGAACAGAAAUAAGGAGGAAGGUCAGUAGCAGCAACAGCCAAUCACAAACAGCCCAAAAAAAGUUCAGAAGAGGUCAGAAUCAGGAGAACCAAUCGUAAACCACUUAAAACCACCCAAAUAAACUCAAAAUUGAACUCAGGCAAUCCAGAACACCUUCAGCAACAGAAACAACUAUACAACAACUCAAAUAGACCUCAUCCUGACUCCAAAGACCAAAUCAAGUAGUUUCAUAACUUCAAUUACUAAUUACUGAACUAGAAUGGCAAACUGGCAGCCAACCUCGAAUUUGAAUUGCAAAAUUCCAGUGGAACAGUACUGUUUUUCGUUUUUUUAUUUUUGUUUAAUUUGAAAACUACUGUAGAUCUAGAAAAAUUAGAAUGGCGAGAGCUUUUUGAGCUAAUAAUGUCUGGGAAAAAAAAGCUCUUAGCAAGGCUGUUUUGAUCCUUUUUAUAGGUGAAUUCAGGUCUUUGAAUUACCUCUUAGGUCCCUAUUCAAUUUCACUUUCAAUUCCUAAACUUCCUAACUGAUUUUGCAAGCUAGCACCCUCUUUAUUGAUAUUCCAUUAAGACCCUUUACCUAGAAACUUCUAAGGUGUUCUAUUUUUAACCACUUGCAAGAUUCCCUAUGUGAAUUCCCUAUUCUGCCCUACCCUUUUCACUGAAUUACCCAAUUCAAUCAGUUAAACCCUCAAAACCUUUUAUCCUAUUUGAUCCUAAACCCCCCAAAUUAAGAAAUCAAAAUGAGACUAACUAAACUAAUUGGAGCCAAUUAACCACGUAAUUCAAAAUCAAUUAUUACUAACACAGGUUUAAUUAUCAAAACUCAACCUGGCUUAACAUCAAAUUCAGCUAAAUGAGAAACAGAGGAUUAUUUCUAGAUUAAACCACAGUUGAACAAACCAAUGCUAACUAAUCCAACUUUCAAUCACCAAAACAGAGUAAUCAGCUGUCAUUAAACUAAACUAAAGGAAUCCUAAAUUAUUGAUGAAUUUAACAAAAUCAUAACUAAUUGGAUUUAUAGAAUACCUAUUCAACUAACAGAGGAGGAGGCAUUAGGCAUAGAGAAAUAAAAAGAAGUAUUUCAAUUGAAUGACUAAGACAUACAACUAUCAAGCAAAACUAAUAAAACAAAAAACAAGAAUCGACAACUCAUUGAAAAAAGAAAAACUCCGGCAUGUUCGUCCACUUACGAAUUUGACCUUUCCCGGCGGGUAUUGAGCGUUAAGACUGCUGAAUUCCUCAUCAGUACAGCCCAACGAACAUCC